Molecule: long non-coding RNA, 3654 nt
Organism: Tachyglossus aculeatus (Australian echidna)
Lineage: Eukaryota; Metazoa; Chordata; Mammalia; Monotremata; Tachyglossidae
Exons: 3
Source: RefSeq, a predicted model, not a curated record
GUGGCGGAUACUGGGACGAUAGCAGGCAUCGCUAGUGCCCUAGCCAUGGCGCUGAUUGGAGCUGUAUCCAGCUAUAUUUCCUAUCAACAAAAGAAAUUCUGCUUUAGCAUACAACAGGGUCUGAACACGGAGUAUGUGAAGGGAGAAAACCUGGAAGGUGUUGUGUCUGAAGAACCUAAGGUUCAGUAUUCAGCCCCACAGUCUGCAGCACCAUCUUCAAGAAACCCUGAAAUCUGAAGCUCAAGGGCAAGAAGAAAGAAAUCAGCCAACUGCAGAUGUAUGCCCAAAUGUCUCAAAACGCUUGUAAUUCAGCUUGUAUUUCUUUUGGAUACAAAAUUGUUGUACAUAUUCAGCCUUAACUGGCUCCUCCUUGCUGUAAGCUGAGCUUUAUGAAUGUGGUGUCAAUUUUUGAAAAGCUGUUUGUUUACAUUGGACUGAAAAUGCAAUAUGUCUGGUGUCUACCAGAGGUGCUGUGAAUUGACGUGAAGCUAACAGGACUGAUCAUCUCCUCCAAAGCAACCAGAAGAGAAAGUAACUUUCCAGGUACUAGGGAAGGUUUCAGGUGCACCUGCCCGUUGGAAGAUAGCCAAACCCUGCAAAUAAUUACUGUGAGAAAUGUUUGGAUUGAUGACAAGUGGAGUACCUGGCCUUAGCCGUGCCUUCCGAUGACAAAGAGUUCAGUUGUGCUUCGAGGUAUGGCUCUAGCCCCUGUGGCAUAGUUACAGAGUCAGUAUUUGUGUAGUUCUUAUCGGGCCGGAGAGCUUAAUGAUAUAAGAAAAUCGGAUUUCAGAGAUCUAAAAAGCAAAGUCAUUCUCGGCAGAAACCUGUUAAUUGUAAUGAUUCUUUUGUGAUCCCUCAAAAGUGGCUUUAUGCCCUCCUGAGCCCGACCAGGGGUGCUGAUAUGAAGGAAGGAUAAGCAUAUCCUGAGGUGAGUACUCUCUUAUUUUAAAGGAGGGCUCUGUGAUGUGUCCUCUUUUGUCCCAUUAAGUGUGAUAGGUGAAACAACCAUUUUUAUUUUAUUUAUUUAUAUUUUAACCACUUGUAAACUUCGCCUCUGAAGAGAACCUCUUUGGGACCCAUUUUGAUGUAAAAAAAAAAACACACCUAACUAGCCCAUUUUAGUGUUUGGCACACAAUUACAAUUUCCUAGAGAAACACAUUAGCUACAAAGGUUAAGUGGUAUGCAUUAUUUUAGCUUUUUUUGGCGGGGAGGGGGGGCAUUUGUAUUCUAAUCAUUUUAAUCAAAGGUAGCGAAUGAUGUGUUAACGACAACAAAAAAACCCUACCUACUUUGUCUUCCUUUUGGCUCUGAAAUGUUUACAGCUAAAGUUAGAGAUGAGGAGUCUUCUCAUUUUAGCUGAUUUUCUAGGCUGCCUCCUCCUCUUCCUUAAUAGAGGAAUGCUUGUUUAGGAGACCAUUAUAGUGUUGUUGCCUUCCGGCCCAGAUUCUCUCCCAUCUGUUCCUGCGCUGAGGAUAGUCUCUAGUUUCCUGCCGUUGUGUGGUAAUGUGCAGGGGAUCUGGUGUUCAAAGUACAUGCUCUUCCUCUACAAAUGGAAUACUGAAAAAAAUGUCACAGGACAUCAAAGGUACUACCCUAAUCACCAUCUUAAAGGAAGGUGAGAUCCUUGCCUGUGGAUUGCCAGCAUUAUUCUAUCUGGCCAGCCAGUCCUGUACCACCUGAAGUAAAAUGUGAAUUGAUCGUAUGUUCGUUCAGCUAAGUAAUCUGAAAGGGCCCCGUCUGAUCCGUAUCCUACCAACACGGGCGUAAAGUUCCAAACACUGCCCAACGCAGGGUUUUGCUGCCACGCAUGAGAAAUUUUGAGAUUAUCUGGCCAAAAAGAUCAGCAAAAGCACUGAGUCAGUGACCCAGGAAGUAGUAUGUGCUGGUGGCUGAGCUGUAGCACCACACACUCAGGAUGACAUGCACAUGAUUUAAGUUGCCUUCUAGAGUCAGCACACAACUAAGGAUGGAUAGCGAGCCUAAAGAAAAAAUAAGGUUAUGUACAAUCAACCAGAGAGUUAGUUAUCUGGUGCACUAAUAAAGAACAUUAGGCUUUUAACAUUUCUGCAAAUCAUUUUUUAAAACCAGCUUUUGCACCCCGCCCCCCAAAUGCCAUUUAAAAAAAAAUCCUGAGCAUUUUAACUGCAAAAAUGCACUUGGGUUGAUUUACAGUAAUCCAUACUACGCUUUGGUUGACUUAGUUCUGUUUGGUACAGUUGAAUGAUGAAAGAUUAUUAUUAAUGUCAUCAGCAGUACUACAACAGGCCUUUAUUUGGGAAUAUGUUAUCUGGUUCGGUUACUUUCAAAGAGAAGGAAUGUUUAUUUGGAAGAUUUACAGAAGAAAUCUGUAAAGUGUAGAAUUUACCUGGAUAUUUGUCAACUGUGGUCAGUUUGGGGAUUUCUUUUGUUAAUAAACUCCUAAUUUUUGCUCCAAAAUGGAACCCUCACUUGUAAACCAAGAUAUGAUCUUAGGUUUUGGAUUGCCUUGGGACUCUUGACACCCAGGUUUUGACAAGGUGGGCAUAACUGAGCUGUUGAGCUGUUUAGUCACAAUUUGUAUCAGAAAAAAGAAAAUUCAGUUUUGAGGUUUAAAGUGUAGAUUUUCACCUAAAUAUUUUUUAAAAACACACUGUUACAUAGCUUCUAAUGUAUAACUUCUUUAAACCAAAAAAAUGUACACCAUACUUAUGAUUAAUUUAAAUGUUAAUUUGGGUACUACUGCUUAUUUUUAAAGUUAGAAAGGUGAAAUAGAGUGUCAGGAACAAAAAAAAAACCUGGUACAAAGUAAAGAUAUGAACUCUGUGGUUAAACACAUAUAUAUUUGCAGUGGUGCUAUGGUUUGUCCAUUUAAAUUGCUUUUCUGUUAUUAGCCAAACCACGGAGUCCAAUGUACUGCCUGCCACAAAACAAAUUCAUACCUAUUAAGAAUAGGAAAUUUAAUCUCAUUAAAGGACAAUUUAAAAACCAGUCCAUCUGCAAUACUUUCAUAUGUAAUUUGCAUCUCAUGGUUUUCUAAAGCAGUGUCAUUAGGAAAAAUGUUAAGUGUUAAUACCCUUAGAUCCUAGACUAUGUAGUAAAGUUAAAUUACCCUCUUCCUCACAUUUACCAUUAAGAUUAAGAAAAUGACUGUGCUUCAAGAUUUAGACUUGAGAAAACCCAAUCUGAUUUGGAGCUUUUUUUUUUGAUGAAACUAUAAAGGCAGACAAUUUUUUUGUCUUCAGAGCAGACUCUGAUAAUUGUAGAAGUACUGAGUCUUUCUUCCUCCUCUCCACUUACCAAAAAAAAAGGUAGUAAUUUUUUUGUGGGGAGAAAAAAGGCAAGGCUUUCAGCCACAAAGCAAGGCUAACAGCUGAAAGUCUGUCGAAGUUGAAGUCCAGUCAUCUUUUACCAACAGCUCACCGGUUUCCCAGAGAGAGGUAAUUUAGAGCAAUGAGAGAGCUGUUGCAGGUUUGGGAAUGACACCCCAAAGACACAACUCUAGCUUUAAGAUGCUUAAGUACACACUCCUUGAAUAACUGGGGGCAAAUUCCUGGGUGUGUUUCACAGCUGUUAAAACUAACGUACCUAGCAGGUAAAGGAAUGACGGUGACUGAAUUCUGGACCACUGACCAGGCAUUAUUGAGUAAAGAUUAAAUAAUAUUGACGUUACAUUA